UACAGCGGUGGCAAGCGUUGUUCGGAAUUACUGGGCGUAAAGGGCGCGUAGGCGGCCUACUAAGUCAGACGUGAAAUCCCCCGGCUUAACCUGGGAACUGCGUCUGAUACUGGAAGGCUUGAGUAUGGGAGAGGGAUGUAGAAUUCCAGGUGUAGCGGUGAAAUGCGUAGAUAUCUGGAGGAAUACCGGUGGCGAAGGCGGCAUCCUGGACCAUUACUGACGCUGAGGCGCGAAAGCUAGGGGAGCAAACGGG
Molecule: ribosomal RNA, 253 nt
Filed under: uncultured bacterium
Lineage: Bacteria
Description: partial 16S ribosomal RNA
Rfam family: Bacterial small subunit ribosomal RNA
Source: RNAcentral